RNAcentral lists this ribosomal RNA (406 nucleotides) under uncultured bacterium. RNAcentral describes it as "partial 16S ribosomal RNA". It matches the Rfam family "Bacterial small subunit ribosomal RNA", at positions 30 to 526 of the family's 1533-position model. The record is from RNAcentral.
AUUGAACGCUGGCGGCAGGCCUAACACAUGCAAGUCGAACGAGUGGCGGACGGGUGAGUAAUGUCUGGGAAACUGCCCGAUGGAGGGGGAUAACUACUGGAAACGGUAGCUAAUACCGCAUACCAUCGGAUGUUCCCAGAUGGGAUUAGCUAGUAGGUGGGGUACCGGCUAACCUAGGCGACGAUCCCUAGCUGGUCUGAGAGGAGGACCAGCAACACUGGAACUGAGACACGGGCCAGACUCCUACGGGAGGCAGCAGUGGGGAAUAUUGCACAAUGGGCGCAAGCCUGAUGCAGCCAUGCCGCGUGUAUGAAGAAGGCCUUCGGGUUGUAAAGUACUUUCAGCGAGGAGGCGGUACUCGAAGAAGAAGCACCGGCUAACUCCGUGCCAGAAGCCGCGGUAAUUC